RNAcentral lists this unclassified non-coding RNA (339 nucleotides) under soil metagenome. Its description in RNAcentral is "partial contains 5.8S ribosomal RNA, internal transcribed spacer 2, and large subunit ribosomal RNA". The stretch from base 1 to 120 matches the Rfam family "5.8S ribosomal RNA", at positions 35 to 154 of the family's 154-position model. The record is from RNAcentral.
GAUGAAGAACGUAGCGAAAUGCGAUAAGUAAUGUGAAUUGCAGAAUUCCGUGAAUCAUCGAAUCUUUGAACGCACAUUGCGCCCCCUGGUAUACCGGGGGGCAUGCCUGUCCGAGCGUCAUUGCAACCCUCAAGCGCGGCUUGUGUGUUGGGCUUCGUCCCCCCGUGGACGUGCCCGAAAGGCAGUGGCGGCGUCCCGAAUGGUGCCCGAGCGUAUGGGAACUCUCUUCCGCUCGAACCGGCCCAUUCGGCGCUGGUCGAACCCCAAUUUUUUUUUACCGGUUGACCUCGGAUCAGGUAGGGAUACCCGCUGAACUUAAGCAUAUCAAUAAGCGGAGGA